RNAcentral lists this non-coding RNA (498 nucleotides) under Phalacrocorax carbo (great cormorant). RNAcentral's name for it is "Eukaryotic large subunit ribosomal RNA". It matches the Rfam family "Eukaryotic large subunit ribosomal RNA", at positions 2394 to 2795 of the family's 3401-position model. The record is from Rfam by way of RNAcentral. Lineage: Eukaryota; Metazoa; Chordata; Aves; Suliformes; Phalacrocoracidae.
UCAGCAGGGAAAGAAGACCCUGUUGAGCACAACCCUAGUCUGGUGCUGUGAAGAUACUUCAGAGGUGUAGAAUAAAUGGGAGGCCCCACAGUUGUGCAGCUCAGGGCAUGUUCCAGUUUGCAGUGAAAUAAAACUGAUCAUUUUUUCCACUUACCCAGUGAGGUUUGCAGGGGGUGAGCCCCAAAGGGCUCUCACUUCUGAUGCCAAGUGCCUGGCACGACCUGUUCCAGGGACAGCGUCAGGUAGAGAGUUUGACUGGGGCAGUACACCCAUCAAACCGUAACACAGGUAUCCUAAGGCGAGCUCAAGGAGGACAGAAACCUCCCACGGAGCUUGAUCUUGAUUUUCAGUACAAAUUUUGUCCAUAAAAGCAGGGCCUCACAAUCUUUGACUUUUUGGGUUUUAAGCAGGCAUCUAGGAGACAGGGGAUGAGGAACUUGGGCAUAUAUGUUCUGCUCUGUCCCCAACAACCUGGAGAAUUCAGGCUGUUCCUGCUAA